This is a long non-coding RNA of Mobula hypostoma (lesser devil ray), 1180 nucleotides long. RefSeq lists it as uncharacterized. The record is from RefSeq and is a predicted model, not a curated record. NCBI's taxonomy places the organism in Eukaryota, Metazoa, Chordata, Chondrichthyes, Myliobatiformes, Myliobatidae. The transcript has 4 exons.
UCCCGGCAUGAUUGACAGCUCCGUGGCCGAAGUUGCUGCAGACUGUUCUAAUCUAUCUCUUUCCAGACAGCUAUAAUAAAUUACAACUUCAAUUUACAUCCAUGCAAAUAAUUUCCUACCUGAAUUUUUAUUUCAGCUGAAAACUUUUAAAUAUGUUUUAAACAGUCCCCGAGUUCAUGCAACAUAAAUUAGUAAGUAGGAGUGGGAUGUUCAGUCACUUCGUCUUUCUACCAAAGUGGAUGACUUCACAGUUCUGCUUCGAUUUCACCGAGAUCAGGACUGUAACACCUGGUUGUGGACACCCCACCAGGGAAAGUAAAGCUCACUGGUGACCUUCCUGCUCCAAACCAGCAUCUGCAGGCUCCAGCUCUCCUGAUGAGACUUGGGACUUGAAUGAUCAUUCUUCUGCUGCAGUGUUGGAGCACCCGUUCUUGAGACAUCCACAUAAAACAGAAGAACCUCAAAGGAAUGAAAGAGAGGAAAAUUAUAAGACCCCAAAGCCCCCUCUCUCUCCACCCCCAUGCAAUCAGCAACAAGCAUCAAUGAAUCAACUUCUCCCCACCUCUUUCAGCAAAAAGCGUCAGCAUCCACUACCUCCCAAGCAACAGCAAAGCACCCCAAAGGACACCAUGAUCUGCAAUCAACAAGAACUGUUUACCUGACAGUUGGACAUGCUACAGGCUCUCUCUCUCUCUCUCUCUCACUAAUAAGGGACAGUGAAAGGGGAGACUAACAGUCACUGUUGCAGUGUUACAGUCUGCUGUGUCGCUUUUUAUUCCAAGAUUCCCUACCUGACUGAGAGAAGGAGAGGGAGAGUAUGCAACUGCUGGACUGCAGAGACAUCCGUCCAUACAGGGCCAUCUCCUACAGCGCCUCAAUCGACAACACCAGCCUGAAAUUGGUCAUCCACAGGGUCGCGCUGGGCUGCACCCCAGAGGCACCAUCUUCCAAGCCGCAAUCAGGCCAUCAGACUGAUUAACUCAUGCUGAUUUGAGUGCAUUUCUAUGUUACGUUGACUGUUCUAUUCAUUAUAAAUUAUUAUAAAUUACCAUGAUUGCACAUUGCACAUUUAGACAGAGACGUAACAUAAAGAUUUUUACUCCUAAUGUAUGUGAAGGAUGGAAGAAAUAAAAUCAAUUCAUUUCAAUUGUUUCUUCUACCAAAGUGCAUGGCCAUUCAC